UGGAUCACUCAAUCCUAAUAUUUUAUAUUCCAAUUAAAAUAGUGAGAGUACUAGAAGGUAGUGAGAUCGCAUAGGGAAUAAUGGAAACAGAAGUGGUUGAAGAUAUUGUGAUUGUGGGAGCUGGAAUUGCUGGCCUUACAACAUCCUUAGGACUUCACAAGUUGGGUAUCAGAAGUUUGGUGUUAGAAUCUUCAGACACUUUGAGGGUCACUGGGUUUGCUUUGUCAAUAUGGGAAAAUGCUUGGAAGGCAUUGGAUACUGUUGGUGUUGGAGACUUCCUCCGCCACCAACAUCUCCAGCUCAAUGGGAUUGUCACUACUUCAUUGGUUACAGGGCAACAAACAUCAGUUAUGCCUUUCACAGAAACAGGAAAUCAGCAAAGAAACCGUGAAAUUCGUUGUGUUAAAAGGAAGUUACUGUUGGAAGCUCUUGCCAAUGAACUUCCAAGUGACACCAUCAGAUACUUGUCAAAGGUUGUUGCUAUUGAGGAAUCUGGCUUCUACAAGAUUGUUCAUCUUGCUGAUGGCACAACCAUCAAAACCAAGGUAUUGAUCGGGUGUGAUGGAGUGAACUCCAUAGUAGCAAAGUGGCUAGGCUUCAAGAAUGCCUCUUUUACAGGGAGAUAUGCAAUUAGGGGUUGUGCAUAGGUUCAAAGCAAUCACGGGUUAGAACCCAGGUUCAUGCAGUUCUUUGGCAAAGGUUUUAGAGCUGGUGUUAUUCCUUGUGAUGGAAACGUUGUUUACUGGUUUUUCACUUGGACACCCAACAACCAAGACAAAGAGCUAGAAGAGAACCCUGCCAAACUGAAAGAACAUGUGCUAAACAAGCUUGAGAAUAUGCCAAGUGAUGUUAGAUACUACAUAGAAAAAACCGAAAUCGAUGCCUUCCAAUUAGCUCCAUUGAGAUAUAGACACCCUUGGGAGCUGAUGUUUGGGAAUAUUAGUAAAGGCAAUAUUUGUGUUGGUGGAGAUGCUUUCCACCCCAUGACUCCAGACCUUGGCCAGGGAGGGUGCUGUGCCUUAGAAGAUGGGAUUGUUUUAGCCAGGUGCCUAGCUGCGGCCUUCUCCAAACAUAUCAAAGAGAAGGAUGAAGAGGACCAAUUCAAAAGGAUUGAGGGAAGCUUGAAGAAAUAUGCAAAGGAGAGAAGAUGGAGAAGCAUUGAUGUCAUUGCUACAGCUUAUAUGGUGGGUUCUAUUCAGCAGGCUGAGUCCAAAUUGGUUACCUUUUUGAGGGACAACAUUUUGGCUGCAUUCUUAGCUAGUCAAUUGUUCAAGAAGUCGGGUUAUGAUUGUGGAAAACUAAACAAUAGUAACUCUUAGUGACACAGUUAUCUUGUAAGAUGCUCGGUCCGUCUGUGUUGUGUUGCCUUUCAUUUGGCCAUUUUAAUGAAUUUCUAGUCCUUGUUAUACUUUUUAUGUCAAUUUUUUUUCCUCGUUGUUAUUUGAAGUUGAUUGGUAAAGGUGCACUUAUAAGAC
RNA transcript from Glycine soja, 1475 nucleotides. It is a transcript of the gene named monooxygenase 2-like, with no coding region annotated. The transcript is spliced from 6 exons. The record is from RefSeq and is a predicted model, not a curated record. NCBI's taxonomy places the organism in Eukaryota, Viridiplantae, Streptophyta, Magnoliopsida, Fabales, Fabaceae.